Molecule: long non-coding RNA, 395 nt
Filed under: Populus trichocarpa (black cottonwood)
Lineage: Eukaryota; Viridiplantae; Streptophyta; Magnoliopsida; Malpighiales; Salicaceae
Description: long non-coding RNA (PTRI_LNC001626)
Source: RNAcentral
GGGGAAGUAAUUUUAGUUAAUUCUUGUGCUGUUAUUUUUAUUUGCUGUGAUUGUUAUUUAUUUUUUCUAAAACAAAAAAAAAGAGACAAAAUUUUUGCUUGCGGCGGUACUGUUCACUUACGGCAACGGUACUGUUCAAAACAUAUUUUUUGGUGGAAUUAGGUAUCGGCCUUUUGUUUCCUGAAGUGAAACAACGUUCUGAACAGGACUAGUGGUACACCACUAACCCCACCCUAUCGAGGCCAAAUUCCGCUGUUUUCUAGUGUUUUUAGGCAGUUUUAGUUUUCUACCGUAGGAUUUUUGUACAAUUUGCAUUGUUUUCAAUCUCUUGUGUGAUUGGUUUAUUUUGAGUUUUCUUGAAGAUUUAUGCCUGUAACCCGUUCUACUAAUCAAAU